AAGAUUACACGAACAGGAAAGAAAACAGAGAAGAUGAAGAAACAAGCUUGACAAAGAUGAAGAAUCAAAAGGAACGAUCUUGAGCUUCUGUAUUCAGUUCUUUCUCAAGAAAAAGAGAGAGAGAAAUUUCAUAAAGUGUAUCACAUCUUCGUUCUUUGUACAAUUCAGUAUUUAUAUGUGAGCGAACAACAAAACUUGUACAACUGUUUUAACAGAAAUGAAAAACAGAAGAAGGGAAAAUAACAGAACACGGAAAGUAUUCAGUUUUGACUUAAAACUGAA
This 282-nucleotide long non-coding RNA is filed under the name Eucalyptus grandis. RNAcentral's name for it is "long non-coding RNA (EGRA_LNC003363)". The record is from RNAcentral. Lineage: Eukaryota; Viridiplantae; Streptophyta; Magnoliopsida; Myrtales; Myrtaceae.